GUACACAAAAAUGCACAUGCUGUGAGCUCGAUGAGUAGGGCGGGACACGUGGUAUCCUGUCUGAAUAUGGGGGGACCAUCCUCCAAGGCUAAAUACUCCUGACUGACCGAUAGUGAACCAGUACCGUGAGGGAAAGGCGAAAAGAACCCCGGCGAGGGGAGUGAAAAAGAACCUGAAACCGUGUACGUACAAGCAGUGGGAGCACGCUUAGGCGUGUGACUGCGUACCUUUUGUAUAAUGGGUCAGCGACUUAUAUUCUGUAGCAAGGUUAACCGAAUAGGGGAGCCGAAGGGAAACCGAGUCUUAACUGGGCGUUAAGUUGCAGGGUAUAGACCCGAAACCCGGUGAUCUAGCCAUGGGCAGGUUGAAGGUUGGGUAACACUAACUGGAGGACCGAACCGACUAAUGUUGAAAAAUUAGCGGAUGACUUGUGGCUGGGGGUGAAAGGCCAAUCAAACCGGGAGAUAGCUGGUUCUCCCCGAAAGCUAUUUAGGUAGCGCCUCGUGAAUUCAUCUCCGGGGGUAGAGCACUGUUUCGGCAAGGGGGUCAUCCCGACUUACCAACCCGAUGCAAACUGCGAAUACCGGAGAAUGUUAUCACGGGAGACACACGGCGGGUGCUAACGUCCGUCGUGAAGAGGGAAACAACCCAGACCGCCAGCUAAGGUCCCAAAGUCAUGGUUAAGUG
RNAcentral lists this ribosomal RNA (687 nucleotides) under Escherichia coli. Its description in RNAcentral is "partial 23S ribosomal RNA". It matches the Rfam family "Bacterial large subunit ribosomal RNA", at positions 375 to 1065 of the family's 2925-position model. The record is from RNAcentral. Lineage: Bacteria; Pseudomonadati; Pseudomonadota; Gammaproteobacteria; Enterobacterales; Enterobacteriaceae.